GUCCCAGUUCGGACUGUAGUCUGCAACCCGACUACACGAAGCUGGAAUCGCUAGUAAUCGCGAAUCAGAAUGUCGCGGUGAAUACGUUCCCGGGUCUUGUACACACCGCCCGUCACACCAUGGGAGUCGGGAAUGCCCGAAGUCAGUGACCCAACCAUAUGGAGGGAGCUGCCGAAGGCAGGUCUGAUAACUGGGGUGAAGUCGUAACAAGGUAAC
This 216-nucleotide ribosomal RNA is filed under the name uncultured bacterium. Its description in RNAcentral is "partial 16S ribosomal RNA". It matches the Rfam family "Bacterial small subunit ribosomal RNA", at positions 1285 to 1500 of the family's 1533-position model. The record is from RNAcentral.